RNAcentral lists this ribosomal RNA (503 nucleotides) under uncultured bacterium. RNAcentral describes it as "bacterial SSU rRNA". It matches the Rfam family "Bacterial small subunit ribosomal RNA", at positions 35 to 524 of the family's 1533-position model. The record is from RNAcentral.
GCUGGCGGCGUGCCUAUCAUGCAAGUCGAGCGGAACCUUUGGAGCUUGCUCCAAAAGUUUAGCGGCGGACGGGUGAGUAACACGUGGGCAACCUGCCCUGCAGAUCGGGAUAACUCCGGGAAACCGGUGCUAAUACCGAAUAGUUUGGCGCCUCUCCUGAGGCGCCACGGAAAGACGGUUUCGGCUGUCACUGCAGGAUGGGCCCGCGGCGCAUUAGCUAGUUGGUGGGGUAAUGGCCCACCAAGGCGACGAUGCGUAGCCGACCUGAGAGGGUGAUCGGCCACACUGGGACUGAGACACGGCCCAGACUCCUACGGGAGGCAGCAGUAGGGAAUCUUCCGCAAUGGACGCAAGUCUGACGGAGCAACGCCGCGUGAGUGACGAAGGUUUUCGGAUCGUAAAACUCUGUUGUGAGGGAAGAACAAGUACCAAGUAACUACUGGUACCUUGACGGUACCUCACCAGAAAGCCACGGCUAACUACGUGCCAGCAGCCGCGGUAAU